GAUGAGUCCCUACAGUAACACUAAUAUUGCAAGAAAGGUCUCAUUUAGCACCAGAAUGAUCUACUAAGUGAAAGUAAAAGAUAACACAACACUCGGGGUCUAUCUGUAAAUACCCGAACAAAGACGGCCUUGCACGGUCGCACUCGCACCACCAAAUUCGCCGACGCCGCAUAGGUCUCUCCACCGGUCGCCGACGAGCAGCGCUAGGGAGGAGUCAAGGAGAAGAUGGGUGGCGGGAUGGAGGUGCACAAGAACCGGUGGAUCGAGGAGUGGAACGCCGGCCGCGAGAACCUCGAGUUCAACUUCCGCUGGACGCGCCGCAGCCUCGCCGUCGUCGGCCUCUUCGGUCUCGCCGUCCCCAUCCUCGUCUACAAGGGCAUCGUUCGCGAAUUCCACAUGCAAGAUGAGGAUGCGGGAAGACCGUUGAGGAAGUUCUUGUAACCUGAAGAAUCAUGCUCAUUUUGUUUCAAGAAAUAAAUGUUUUGGCCAGAUCUUGGCAAUUUCAACAUGAGAAACAUAAUUAUACUCAGUUUUCUGUAAGCACUUUUUUAAGUUGUUGUGCUUUGUUCCAAGUGUUUCUUUCAAGAACCUAUGUACCAUCUUUAUGUCAAACUAUGCCUAUGGGCAUCCAUUAUUCUUUUCCUCCCAAAAGGAGAGUAUGUAAUUUUGUGGUUGUGCUUGUGGGUUCUGGUUC
Molecule: long non-coding RNA, 694 nt
Organism: Setaria italica (foxtail millet)
Lineage: Eukaryota; Viridiplantae; Streptophyta; Magnoliopsida; Poales; Poaceae
Exons: 3
Source: RefSeq, a predicted model, not a curated record